Molecule: ribosomal RNA, 253 nt
Filed under: uncultured bacterium
Lineage: Bacteria
Description: partial 16S ribosomal RNA
Rfam family: Bacterial small subunit ribosomal RNA
Source: RNAcentral
UACGGAGGGUGCAAGCGUUGUCCGGAUUUAUUGGGUUUAAAGGGUGCGUAGGCGGCCCGUUAAGUCAGUGGUGAAAUCCCAGGGCUCAACCCUGGAACUGCCAUUGAUACUAUUAGUCUUGAAUUCGGUCGAGGUUGGCGGAAUGUGUCGUGUAGCGGUGAAAUGCUUAGAUAUGACACAGAACACCGAUUGCGAAGGCAGCUAGCUAGACCGACAUUGACGCUGAGGCACGAAAGCGUGGGGAGCAAACAGG